RNAcentral lists this ribosomal RNA (449 nucleotides) under uncultured bacterium. Its description in RNAcentral is "partial 16S ribosomal RNA". It matches the Rfam family "Bacterial small subunit ribosomal RNA", at positions 29 to 523 of the family's 1533-position model. The record is from RNAcentral.
AACGAACGCUGGCGGCAGGCUUAACACAUGCAAGUCGAGCGCAUCCUUCGGGGUGAGCGGCAGACGGGUGAGUAACGCGUGGGAACGUACCCUUUCCUACGGAAUAGCUCCGGGAAACUGGAACUAAUACCGUAUACGCCCUUAGGGGGAAGGAUUUAUCGGGGAAGGAUCGGCCCGCGUUGGAUUAGCUAGUUGGUGGGGUAAAUGCCUACCAAGGCGACGAUCCAUAGCUGGUCCGAGAGGAGGAUCAGCCACAUUGGGACUGAGACACGGCCCAAACGCCUACGGGAGGCAGCAGUGGGGAAUAUUGGACGAUGGGCGCAAGCCUGAUCCAGCCAUGCCGCGUGAGUGAUGAAGGCCUUAGGGUUGUAAAGCUCUUUCAGUAGGGAAGAUAAUGACGGUACCUACAGAAGAAGCCCCGGCUAACUUCGUGCCAGCCGCCGCCGUAA